Non-coding RNA from Hypoxylon sp. FL0543, 108 nucleotides. Lineage: Eukaryota; Fungi; Ascomycota; Sordariomycetes; Xylariales; Hypoxylaceae. The record is from the annotation of a GenBank genome assembly.
UCUCGAUUGGUCUAGUGGUCAGGAUACCUGCUUGUCAUCCGUUUCGGUGGUUAAUCCCGUCGGAGGUUCGAUGCGCAGGUGGCCGGGGUUCGAUUCCCCGAUCGAGAG